Molecule: ribosomal RNA, 669 nt
Filed under: Triticum aestivum (bread wheat)
Lineage: Eukaryota; Viridiplantae; Streptophyta; Magnoliopsida; Poales; Poaceae
Description: partial small subunit ribosomal RNA
Source: RNAcentral
AUGGAGCAGCUGCCCUUCCCCGCCUGGCCUCUAAAAGGAGGGGCGGAGGAGGGCGAAGUCAUCCACCCCUGCAUCCCUCUCUUCCUUCUUUCCUGGUUCUCUGCUUCUUCUGGUAAUGCUGAAGGGAAGGGCCCGGGGUCAGCCCCCGGGCUUCUCCUUGGGGUCUCCCUUGGAUCUGAGAGGAAGUGUCUUAUCCGCUCCCUUCCCUCCAGAUUCUGUACAGUACGCCGCCGGCCGCCGUUCUUCUCCGCCCGUCCGCCGCCGUGGCCGAUCCGGGAGACGGUGCUGGACAGCGUGGCGGCGUACCACCACCAGCAGCGGAUGCGCCGCAGGUUCCGCAAGAGCCUCUCCUGCCCGCUACACAAGGCUCACCGGCGGUGCAGCGGGAUUUUGCUCGACCGCAACCCCAAAUCCCCUCCUACCCGACCUAGCGCCGCCACCCACCAGAGCCCAUCCUCUCCUCGGCUGGAUGCCCAUCGGCGCAACCUGGCCAGAUGCAGCACGCGCACGAGCAUCCACUUGGUCGCCUCGAGCCGGGCAAGGAAGUUGGGCACAACGAGCGGCUCAUGGAGGCCUUGGUCGUCGGGGAUGGGGCAGAGCACAUGCGGAGGCCGGACUCGCGCCCCAGCACCUCCACAACAAGUGUGCGUCGCGAGCGAUCUUCGGUGA